Long non-coding RNA from Stylophora pistillata, 577 nucleotides. The record is from RefSeq and is a predicted model, not a curated record. NCBI's taxonomy places the organism in Eukaryota, Metazoa, Cnidaria, Anthozoa, Scleractinia, Pocilloporidae.
UACUCACGAAUAUGCAGCUGGUUUUCUGUUUCGCUUGUGAGACAAAUGUUCUGCAACGCCACCUUCAAGCGUUAUUAUACAACCUCAAGUUCUUUUCACUGCUACAGAUGUUGUGUCUAUUUUUCUCAUGUUUACAUUUGCUUACAAAGUAACCACUAAUUAACCCUAAUCGUGUUUAUCAUUAGAUGGGCUCUAUCACCAAUAUCUAUAAACGCCUACUACGAUAUGUUGGCUAACAAAAUGGUGUUUCCAGCGGCUAUCCUCCAAUCUCCAUUUUACAAUAAGAGGUAUCCGAGGAAUCACUUCUAAAGCUGAUAAAUCAUCUUACACCUCAGAUUGAUGGCGAAAAAACCUUGUCAGGAAACAUAGCUGAUAAUGGAGGACUUAAACAGGCGUUCAGGGUAAGUUCUGUACCCUUUUCCAGUCCUGGAACGACAAGUUGCUUUCAUUAGACUUUCUUUCCGACAGACUAUCUCUCGUUUUUGUCAAAAAGGUUACUCAGAUCCUUGACUAAAAUUCAGCAAACCUUAACAAGAGCCUCGUCGACUAUUAGCUCUGACGAAGGGCUAAUGCUCGA